RNAcentral lists this ribosomal RNA (897 nucleotides) under Bacillus velezensis. Its description in RNAcentral is "bacterial SSU rRNA". It matches the Rfam family "Bacterial small subunit ribosomal RNA", at positions 35 to 914 of the family's 1533-position model. Lineage: Bacteria; Bacillati; Bacillota; Bacilli; Caryophanales; Bacillaceae. The record is from RNAcentral.
GAGGGCGGCGUGCCUAUACAUGCAAGUCGAGCGGACAGAUGGGAGCUUGCUCCCUGAUGUUAGCGGCGGACGGGUGAGUAACACGUGGGUAACCUGCCUGUAAGACUGGGAUAACUCCGGGAAACCGGGGCUAAUACCGGAUGGUUGUUUGAACCGCAUGGUUCAGACAUAAAAGGUGGCUUCGGCUACCACUUACAGAUGGACCCGCGGCGCAUUAGCUAGUUGGUGAGGUAACGGCUCACCAAGGCGACGAUGCGUAGCCGACCUGAGAGGGUGAUCGGCCACACUGGGACUGAGACACGGCCCAGACUCCUACGGGAGGCAGCAGUAGGGAAUCUUCCGCAAUGGACGAAAGUCUGACGGAGCAACGCCGCGUGAGUGAUGAAGGUUUUCGGAUCGUAAAGCUCUGUUGUUAGGGAAGAACAAGUGCCGUUCAAAUAGGGCGGCACCUUGACGGUACCUAACCAGAAAGCCACGGCUAACUACGUGCCAGCAGCCGCGGUAAUACGUAGGUGGCAAGCGUUGUCCGGAAUUAUUGGGCGUAAAGGGCUCGCAGGCGGUUUCUUAAGUCUGAUGUGAAAGCCCCCGGCUCAACCGGGGAGGGUCAUUGGAAACUGGGGAACUUGAGUGCAGAAGAGGAGAGUGGAAUUCCACGUGUAGCGGUGAAAUGCGUAGAGAUGUGGAGGAACACCAGUGGCGAAGGCGACUCUCUGGUCUGUAACUGACGCUGAGGAGCGAAAGCGUGGGGAGCGAACAGGAUUAGAUACCCUGGUAGUCCACGCCGUAAACGAUGAGUGCUAAGUGUUAGGGGGUUUCCGCCCCUUAGUGCUGCAGCUAACGCAUUAAGCACUCCGCCUGGGGAGUACGGUCGCAAGACUGAAACUCAAAGGAAUUGAC